This is a long non-coding RNA of Ostrea edulis (European flat oyster), 383 nucleotides long. RefSeq lists it as uncharacterized. Lineage: Eukaryota; Metazoa; Mollusca; Bivalvia; Ostreida; Ostreidae. The transcript has 3 exons. The record is from RefSeq and is a predicted model, not a curated record.
CAAGUAUGGAGGCGAAAGCUAUUUUGUCGGUAUUGAAAAAGCUUUUAUGGCCCAGUGGUUCUUGAGAAGAAGAUUUUUAAAUGAUCCCACCCUAUUUUUGUGAUUAUCUCCCUUUGAAGAGGGCUUGGUCCUUCAAUUGAACAAUAUUGAAUCCCCUUUACCCAAGGAUGUUUGUGCCAUGUUUGGUUGAAAUUAGACCACAAGGUUCUGAAGAAGAAGAUGAAAAUGUGAAAAGUUUACACCAACAACACCGACAGGCAACGGACAAAUUUUGAUCAUAAAAGCUCAUUUAAGGCUUCAACUCAGGAGAAAUAGGAUAUUACGAAGAAGAGAAGCUUUGUCAUAAUUUUUUAUAGUAUGAAUUAAAUGCAAUUUUUCAUAUA